RNAcentral lists this ribosomal RNA (253 nucleotides) under uncultured bacterium. RNAcentral's name for it is "partial 16S ribosomal RNA". It matches the Rfam family "Bacterial small subunit ribosomal RNA", at positions 524 to 776 of the family's 1533-position model. The record is from RNAcentral.
UACGUAGGGUGCAAGCGUUGUCCGGAAUUAUUGGGCGUAAAGAGCUCGUAGGCGGUUUGUUGCGUCGGCUGUGAAAUCCCGAGGCUCAACCUCGGGUCUGCAGUCGAUACGAGCAAACUAGAGUGUUGCAGGGGAGACUGGAAUUUACGGUGUAGCGGUGAAAUGCGCAGAUAUCAGGAAGAACACCUAUGGCGAAGGCAGCUCUCUGGGACGGUACUGACGCUGAGACGCGAAAGCGUGGGGAGCGAACAGG